Molecule: signal recognition particle RNA, 95 nt
Filed under: Rickettsiales bacterium TMED131
Lineage: Bacteria; Pseudomonadati; Pseudomonadota; Alphaproteobacteria; Rickettsiales
Also listed under: 1 other name
Description: signal recognition particle sRNA small type
Rfam family: Bacterial small signal recognition particle RNA
About the family: The signal recognition particle (SRP) is a universally conserved ribonucleoprotein involved in the co-translational targeting of proteins to membranes. Archaeal SRP consists of a 7S RNA and homologues of the eukaryotic SRP19 and SRP54 proteins. In most bacteria, the SRP consists of a 4.5S RNA and the Ffh protein (a homologue of the eukaryotic SRP54 protein).
Source: RNAcentral
GGAAGGUUUAAUUGGGUAUUUUUAAAUAUCUAUCUAGUCAGGUCUGAAAAGAAGCAGCUAAGGUACUUUUAAAUAGGUCAAAUAAACCUUCCAUU